Long non-coding RNA from Oncorhynchus tshawytscha (Chinook salmon), 2602 nucleotides. The record is from Ensembl. NCBI's taxonomy places the organism in Eukaryota, Metazoa, Chordata, Actinopteri, Salmoniformes, Salmonidae.
GGGAAGGUGGGCUGUGGGGGUUUUGUUUCUUUGUGCCAUUUAUUGUUUUAGUAUUGGGGUUAAAUACAUUUUGAUUUGGGGGGCGGAAGACAAACUUAGUCCUAGACUCUGCAGAGAGUAGGAAUGGAUCUGAUGGUGAAGCUUGGACAAACUCUGUAUUUGGAACAGAGAAAGGAACGCAGACAACAGAACAACAGAGUGAGGCUGAACCAGGGUUACCUAACAUUUAAAAUAAAAGGUCUGUUAGGAACGGAAUGUUCCGUUUGUUCUAGUGUUCGGGGGACACGUUUCAGAUACUAGAACCAUUCAUUCAGUAUGCAAGAGCUCUCUAGCUAACACUGAGCCCAUCAUUAGACCCACUACAACAAUCAGACUAUCUUUACUGAUGGCCUGUCCACGAAGCCUUGUGUGUGUCCGACACCAGGCAGCACGGUAUACAAGCCUCGUGUUGGCGGUGAAAGAGAGGGGAGGAAGUGGGAGACUGAUAGGAAUAGAGAAGAGAAAGUCAGUCAGUGACAAACGGUAUUUGUGUGAAUGUCUCAAAAGAGUUAAAACCAGAUUGUGGUGUUUUAUAGUUUACUAACCAGGCAUAAUGUGUGUCUACUGUCAGUGGGGCAGUCUUAGGCUGUGUCCCCCAAAUGAUACCCUAUUCCCUAUAUAGUGCACUACUUUUGACCAGCGUCCUAUGGACCCUGGUCAAAAGUAGUGCACUGAAUAGGGAAUAGGGCGUCAUUUUGGACGUAGUCUUUACAGUAGUAGUUGUGACUGGGCCCUAUGCCAUUUAAGGUGGGUAAAGUGAAAGUGGAGUUGAGGUAGAAGCCAGGGCUAGUGGAGGCAGAAGAGGAGAGGUCAGGGGACUCUAUCUCCAACACAUGGCAGUAGUACUGUGCUGCUGGGUUGAGGUAGAAGCCAGGGCUAGUGGAGGCAGAAGAGGAGAGGUCAGGGGACUCUCUAUCUCCAACACAUGGCAGUAGUACUGUACACUGUGCUGCUGGGUUGAGGUAGAAGCCAGGGCUAGUGGAGGCAGAAGAGGAGAGGUCAGGGGACUCUCUAUCUCCAACACAUGGCAGUAGUACUGUACACUGUGCUGCUGGGUUGAGGUAGAAGCCAGGGCUAGUGGAGGCAGAAGAGGAGAGGUCAGGGGACUCUCUAUCUCCAACACAUGGCAGUAGUACUGUACGCUGUGCUGCUGGGUUUGACCAACAAGUGACUUCCUCAUCACCAAUGCUGGUGGUUCAAGCCCAGUUAUUUCAUCAUCUGCUUAAUGCUGCCCCAGUCUCUUUAAUGAAACCACCUGUGGCUUUUAGUGCAGGUUUGUAGCUUGUUCUAAAGUAGCAGACAGUCUCACCACUCACAAUGCAGACAAAUAAAUAGUUGGUUCCAUCAUUAUUAGAUUUAUUCGACAUGAAUGUUUUAGUUUUUUGGUUGAUGUCCUUCUGGUCUUUUUGGAAACCUUACAAAAUGUUGUAAUGAUAGAUGAACAGUGUCCGUGUCUUUCUCGUUACCUGACAGUGUUGUAGACAGUAAAACUGGUCCAAUCUGUGGACAACAGAAUAGUUCAUUAAGCCCCAUAUCCUUUUCAAAGCAACUGUACAAAACCAUUACCUGGGGUGAAACAUGUUUAAAACUGUAGAAAAGUGAUUUUUAAUACACACUCAUCACCUUAACUACUGAUUAGCUUACAGGGACUGCUAGAUCUAUCGCCUUCUGCUUAGCGCUUCAGUCGUCUCUCCUCACUGUAAACAUGUCUGCUACGGGAAAUCACUUGAAAACAGAUGGUAGAUUCUCAAUCAUUUGUCUUUACAGAGUGACUAUGUUGUAUCCUGGAUAUUUAAAACCGUUUAAAAACAGUUGGUUUUCUUUGUAAAACGUUUUGUGGAUUGAACUUUUGUUCUUACUGGAGGCCCUCAGUACAGCAGUACGGUACUUACUGGAGGCCCUCAGUACAGCAGUACGGUACUUACUGGAGGCCCUCGGUACAGCAGUACAGUACUUACUGGAGGCCCUCAGUACAGCAGUACGGUACUUACUGGAGGCCCUCAGUACAGCAGUACGGUACUUACUGGAGGCCCUCAGUACAGCAGUACAGUACUUACUGGAGGCCCUCGGUACAGCAGUACAGUACUUACUGGAGGCCCUCGGUACAGCAGUACAGUACUUACUGGAGGCCCUCAGUACAGCAGUACAGUACUUACUGGAGGCCCUCAGUACAGCAGUACAGUACUUACUGGAGGCCCUCAGUACAGCAGUACAGUACUUACUGGAGGCCCUCAGUACAGCAGUACAGUACUUACUGGAGGCCCUCAGUACAGCAGUACAGUACUUACUGGAGGCCCUCAGUACAGCAGUACAGUACUUACUGGAGGCCCUCAGUACAGCAGUACAGUACUUACUGGAGGCCCUCAGUACAGCAGUACAGUACUUACUGGAGGCCCCCUCAGUACAGCAGUACAGUACUUACUGGAGGCCCUCAGUACAGCAGUACAGUACUUACUGGAGGCCCUCAGUACAGCAGUACGGUACUUACUGGAGGCCCUCAGUACAGCAGUACGGUACUUACUGGAGGCCCUCAGUACAGCAAUACAGUACUUACUGGAGGCCC